This 247-nucleotide ribosomal RNA is filed under the name uncultured bacterium. Its description in RNAcentral is "partial 16S ribosomal RNA". It matches the Rfam family "Bacterial small subunit ribosomal RNA", at positions 59 to 334 of the family's 1533-position model. The record is from RNAcentral.
AAGUCGAACGAGAUCUUCGGGUCUAGUGGCGCACGGGUGCGUAACGCGUGGGAAUCUGCCCUUUGGUUCGGAAUAACAGUUGGAAACGACUGCUAAUACCGGAUGAUGACGAAAGUCCAAAGAUUUAUCGCCAGAGGAUGAGCCCGCGUAGGAUUAGCUAGUUGGUGUGGUAAAGGCGCACCAAGGCGACGAUCCUUAGCUGGUCUGAGAGGAUGAUCAGCCACACUGGGACUGAGACACGGCCCAG